Long non-coding RNA from Chelonia mydas (Green sea turtle), 161 nucleotides. RefSeq lists it as uncharacterized. The transcript is spliced from 3 exons. The record is from RefSeq and is a predicted model, not a curated record. Lineage: Eukaryota; Metazoa; Chordata; Testudines; Cheloniidae.
UCCUGGGGUACAUCAACUCAUCUAGAUAUUUGCCUAGUUUUACAACAAGCUACAUAAAAAGCACUAGCAAAGUCAGGUACAAACCAAAAUUUCAUACAGACAAUGACUUGUUUGUACUGCUCAAUAUACCGUACACUGAAAUGUAGAUGCAAAUCCUAGAA